GGCGCUGUGGCACAGUGGGUUAAUGCGCUGGCCUGAAGUGCCAGCAUCCUAUAUGGACAGCUGGUUCUAGUCCUGGCUGCUCCU
This 84-nucleotide transfer RNA is filed under the name Oryctolagus cuniculus (rabbit). It matches the Rfam family "tRNA". From Rfam's summary of the family: Transfer RNA (tRNA) molecules are approximately 80 nucleotides in length. Their secondary structure includes four short double-helical elements and three loops (D, anti-codon, and T loops). Lineage: Eukaryota; Metazoa; Chordata; Mammalia; Lagomorpha; Leporidae. The record is from Rfam by way of RNAcentral.